AACAAUUAGACUGACCACGUUAGGCCCAAAGCAGAAGUGCGCAAACAGGAUUAAAGAAAAAAAAUGAAAUUGUAGGCUAUGAAACUAAUACUGCGUGUUUUCAGAAACAAGGCUCUAGACUGUGACAUUAAUAUGCUGUAGCUAUAGUGAAAUGUUAUUUACAGACCAUUUGGCCUUGGAGAGCAAUUAUAUUUCAUUGUGAUCAUAACUUUGUUUAUAUAAUGCAAGCAGAUGUUCUAACAUGGAAUAAGGAAGAUAUUUUACAAAGAAAACUAAUUACACAAGAUGUACUGUUGUUCAGUAACUGAAGGGCUAAUCAUCUCUGAUGUUUAAGGAAAAAAAAAAGUGAUAUUCUCGUUUUAACUUGUCUUAAUGCCAGAAUAGACUCUUGUAAUCAUCUAGCUGACUGGUAUAACACAGGUCUUCAGACUUCCAAAAUGAAUGAUUCCAUAUCUCUCAGAAAUGUUCAUUUGUGAUUUCAACUUCUGCUGAAAUGGAAUUAUUAUUAGAGCUCUCAAAAUGAGAUUUUUAAAAAAAUAUUAAUCUAAAAGUAUAGUGCUUCAACACAGAGAAAAUACUGCUUUUUUUGUAUUAUAGCAUCUUAUGAAUAGUGGUGAAAAGGUGUGACUUUGAUUUAGAACAUCUGUGCAAGAUAGCAUGGAAUGGUUUGCUAGCCCUUAUAGAAAGGGGUAGGGUACAUGGGUAGUUACUUCCUCUAACCAAAAGGAAUUUUUGGCCAGACUUUGACAUAUAACCAGAAACUUAAGUUUUCUCCUAAGACAGCCUUAUGAAACAGAUACAUGUAGGGUAAGAAGCCAGCUGCAUACAGUUCACUAUUAGAGUUUUGGAAAAAUUAGAACAUGUCAGAGGGAGAGGAGUAGUGUUAAUUUUCUUUUAAGUAUGAGAAACAAAAUGAUGCUACCAUAUUGGUUUUCAGUAUAUUCUGAUUUGUAGAUACCCGUAAUUUUUGCAGAGCUGGAGUUGCCCGGAGUUGCCCGGAGUUGCCCGUAGUGCUAAUGGCAAUUAUCCUGAUUUUAGUUCCCUUUUGAAGAUGCCUUAGAAAUAAUCCAUUAGCCCUAUGUUAAUGGUUGAAGGCUACUAUUCUACUGUUUUCUUCACCGAUACCCCUUAGCUAAAAUUCUUUUUUAAAAUUAGGACAUGUAUCUACUUCUGCAAAGGCUUGCAUCUAUAAUAGAAUUGGGAUGCUUAUGUAAAGGUUUGGAAAGAUUGUUGGAAAAACCUUUCUUCUGCUCCUUUAGCAUUUCUCUAAAAAAAAAUUAAGCAUAAUGGAACAAAUUAUGGUAAAGAAAUCUUAAACAGUCUUUUUAUUCAUGCAUUUUUGGGGUUGCAGCAUAGGGUGCUUAUGUUUAUGCUUAUGGUCAGACUAAAGGAAAAACAAAAAAAGGCGAAAGCUCAGUUUACUGGAUUUCCUUCUUAAAGAUCUUCAAUUAAUUGUUGGGGGAAAAAAGAAACUAAUUUAGGGAGCAUUGCCCCAUUAGGGACCAGGGUUUUGUUUUUGUUAACUUGUUGGGAACCAGGAGACAGUUCAGUGACGGACUGGCUCUUACAUCUGUCCUGAACCAAGAGAGAGAGAUGUUGUUUUUUGGAUUUUGUGACCUCUGAAUAUCAUCAACAGCAGAUUGAACUAUUUUGACUCAGUGGCCAAGAAGUGAAAAGAGAGAUGUGGUACUUGAGAACAAUAGUUGUUUUACACCUAACAAAGGAAUUUUCAGGACACUUUGCAGCUUACAUUUAGCUUACGUUUUCGGGUUGAGUUUUCAUGUCUGAAGUGGAAGCUUUCCAGGGAUGGGAGUGUGGAUGUCCAAAGCUAGAAGACUGUGGUUCAAGAUCAAGAGGUUGAAAGUAGGAUUCCAGGGGAGCACAGGUCGGAGAGACUCAAAGGAAGCACCACCAGCUGUGAGGAUUCACCCAUGUGGCCUUGCAGAGAUACAGUGCUUAGACUUGUAAUUCAUAGGAUUCAGAAGAAUGGCUUAAAAUGUGUGCAAAAUCUGUUUGAGAGAAACAUGCUUGUAUGUACUAUGACCACAUGGGAUCCCACUUCACACGGGAUUUUCUGAAAGAUCCAGUGAGCUCUGAAACUUUCUAGUGCAGUGACCACUAGCUGUUAAUGUUUUGUAGUUUAAUUAGCUGAUCAUAAAGGAGCAUCUCUGAACCAGUGUUAACGUCUUUGUGGGAAGAUGUUCUCAAACCUUCAUCUCACUUUAUUAAGUUUAUUAUUAUUUAAGUUUAUUAAAAAGCAUCCUGAAAGUUACCUCUCUUCCUAUCCCUUCUUGACCAGGUGCUGAUAAAAUACAGCUUAAGUUUUACUGACUCUGAAAAUGAAUGUGGAACCCUACAUCAGUACCUCGUCCACUUUGAAAUAGCUUCGCUAAUUCUUAGUGACUUUGAAUUAUGAUCUGAUU
Molecule: long non-coding RNA, 2423 nt
Organism: Dromaius novaehollandiae (emu)
Lineage: Eukaryota; Metazoa; Chordata; Aves; Casuariiformes; Dromaiidae
Exons: 2
Source: RefSeq, a predicted model, not a curated record